This is a long non-coding RNA of Gymnodraco acuticeps, 555 nucleotides long. RefSeq lists it as uncharacterized. The transcript has 3 exons. Lineage: Eukaryota; Metazoa; Chordata; Actinopteri; Perciformes; Bathydraconidae. The record is from RefSeq and is a predicted model, not a curated record.
CGCCAAUGCUAAGGACCGGCCCUGCCCGCAGCACCGCUCAGACUAUUACCUGUAGAGGAGGUCGCUCUGCUGUCAGGAAAAGCAGUUUUGAAUUCUGGGGUUUGACGGUUUUUGACCGACAGCUGAAGCAAUCUGACGACUUAACCUGGGAUUGAGAAGACCCUGUCCUUACAAUCCGAUCCUGAGAUAUUCUCCAACCUGAAGAUAGGUUUCAGACAUCGUGAAAUGAUGAUGAAAACAGGAACUUUGCCUUAACCGAAGUAUUGCUGUUAUCCUCUGCAGGACAUGAGCAGAAUGAAGGGCUGUGAAUGGCCUCCUGUGAUUUGAGGAACGAGCCUUGACCUCCUUGAGUAAUAUGAAACAGAAGCACAAAGACAAGUUGGACUCCUUUAUGAUACAUUUUCAGGAGAAUCUCUAAUUAAGUCAGAUUCAAUAGUGUGAUUUUGUAUUACUUUUUUUGUUUGAAUUCUUGUGUUGUUAAUUAAGCAUGGCGCGUUUCCACUGCAGGCCUCGCUCGGCCUUGCUCGGCCUUGCUCGGCCUCGCUCGGUUUGGUU